Molecule: ribosomal RNA, 1743 nt
Filed under: Triticum aestivum (bread wheat)
Lineage: Eukaryota; Viridiplantae; Streptophyta; Magnoliopsida; Poales; Poaceae
Description: partial small subunit ribosomal RNA
Source: RNAcentral
AUGAGAUCGUUUUGGGCAAAAUGGAAGCUUUACUCCCCACUCAUUCUGUUAUACACGAACUGGCUUCUCUUUGUGAAUUUUUCCAACUCCCAGCAUCAGGGAGGGACGAAGAGGGAUGAAAAAAGACCAGCGAGCCACCGCACCCACCAUCUUCCUGGCCGCCCCCACACCACCUUCUUCCUUGCCAAGGCCCCCAUACCCCACCUUCUUCCCCGCCGGUCCUACCACACCGCACCUUCUUCUUUGCAGGGGCCCCCGCACCCUCACCUUCUUCUGAUCUUCACCGCUGGGCUCCUGCACUCCAUGCGCCGGCAACCGUGGAGUCCACCACCACCUCCGCGUUCACCGCCGGCUGCCCAGAACCGUUCCGCCCCCAACCGCGCACGGCCAGUAGCACCGGAUCCGGCCGCUGCGAGACCCCUGUGUCGCCAACAACCGCCUACCACGCCGGAUCUGGCCGCCCCCGACCAACCCAUCCCUCAACCUUUCCCUGACGACGACGCGAUGGCGAGCGGGAGUUGCAGUCCGGCUCCACGAGGCAAUGUCCACGGCGAGCGGCGCUCCAUGCCUCCCCCCAGGCGCUCCCUCGCGCUCCUCCCUUGCUCAACCGGCGACGAGGAGCUCGCCGUCCUACUCCUCCUAGCGCGCCGAGCCGCCGCGCCCCCUCCCGUGCCGCCCUCCCCGUGGUCCUCGACCUCUCUCUACCUGGCCUACAUCGGAUCUGGUGAGAUCCGCGAUGUAUCGAGCUUCCACUGCCGGAUCCCAUUUGCCUACAUCCCUCGGGCCUGUUCUAGCCAGUCUGCUCCUCUCCCUCUACUCGUCUCCCCGCCGCGUCGCCCCCAGCCUCCACCCUCACCCCCACAGCCACCACAAAUCGACGGCCUCGCCUCCCACCGCCGCCCGUUCUCAUCCCCUCCCCCGGUUCAUCAGAGAGGAAAAUUGGCAGGUCGAGCGACCAGAUCCACCCACAUCUGGCCCCGUUGCAACUGGCGACGACCGCGGUGUUGGCGGGCGGCGCCAACAUGCCGCUCUCGGCCAUGGAGCUGCUCCUGUCGGGCCACCCAAACCCGUCUGUCGCCUGCUCGCCUCCCGCGGCAUCUUCUCCGAACACACAACCGACGGCGGUACGUGCUUGUGUUGGCGUGGCCGCUGCUCCACGAGGUCGUGCUCGACCCCGCCGGUGCGGAUCCCUUCACGCGCGCCCACGCUAGUGUCCCCGCCUACGCCUACUACGGCCAGGACCGGGAGGCGAAUGAGGUGAUGCUCUGGGCCAUGACCGGCGUGUCAGAGCCAUUCAUGGAGGUGCUGCUGGACGGGUACUGCCCCGGUGGAGGGUUUGAGGGCGUGGCCAUGCUCGUCAACGUUGGCGCCAGCUCCGGCGCCUUCCUCGCGAUGAUCAUGCGCAGGGUGCCCACCAUCCGCCAGGGACUCAGCUUCGACCUGCCAGAUGUCGUCGCCGCCGCGCCUCCCAUCUCUCAGCUUUACCCGCCUGAAUUCUUAGUGAAGAAGGUGCAGGCAUGUAGCCACGGGAGCACGGGACAGCUUGAUCUAGAUGGCAAGCUGAAGUACAUCAUUCGUGUACUGACAGAGACUAGUUUGAUAAUGAGGUUUCAGAGCAUACUCGGGAUCCACUUGCUUUACUUCUUGACUAUCCUUGAUGCUCAUUCACUUGUUGAUGUUCCUUGGUUAUCUGUGAUGGACGAGGGGGGAGAAGGGAUGGCAGAGGAGGUUCACAAUAUAUAG